This 518-nucleotide ribosomal RNA is filed under the name Capparimyia melanaspis. RNAcentral's name for it is "partial 16S ribosomal RNA". The stretch from base 390 to 518 matches the Rfam family "Bacterial large subunit ribosomal RNA", at positions 2473 to 2601 of the family's 2925-position model. Lineage: Eukaryota; Metazoa; Arthropoda; Insecta; Diptera; Tephritidae. The record is from RNAcentral.
GUCUUUUUGAGGUAUUUUUAAAGUCUGACCUGCCCCCUGAUAAUUUAUUAAAUGGCCGCAGUAUUCUAACUGUGCAAAGGUAGCAUAAUCAUUAGUCUUUUAAUUGAAGGCUGGAAUGAACGGUUGGACGAGGUAUAAGCUGUUUCAUAAAAAUUUAUAUUAGAAUUUUAUUUUUUAGUCAAAAAGCUAAAAUUUAUAUAAAAGACGAGAAGACCCUAUAAAUCUUUAUAUUUUUUUUUAUUCAAAUUUUUUUGAUUUGGUUUAUUUUUAUAAAAUAAAAUAUUUUGUUGGGGUGAUAUUAAAAUUUAAUGAACUUUUAAUUAUAAAAAAUCAUUAAUUUAUGAAUUAUUGAUCCUUUAUUAUUGAUUAUAAGAUUAAGUUACUUUAGGGAUAACAGCGUAAUUUUUUUUGAGAGUUCUUAUCGAUAAAAAAGUUUGCGACCUCGAUGUUGGAUUAAGAUAUAUUUUUAGGUGUAGCCGCUUAAAUAUUAAGUCUGUUCGACUUUUAAAUUCUUACAU